RNAcentral lists this unclassified non-coding RNA (321 nucleotides) under Hevea brasiliensis (rubber tree). Lineage: Eukaryota; Viridiplantae; Streptophyta; Magnoliopsida; Malpighiales; Euphorbiaceae. The record is from RNAcentral.
AUCGCAACCUCACCUCGGCGAUGAUCGACAGCCGCGACUUCAUCAUGGCGAAGAAGCGUGCCGAGCAGGAAGUGCUCCUGCCGCCUGGACCGAAGAUCGCCGUCACCGGCGGGGUCGNNNNNNUCUGGGCCAAGCUCGACCAGGUUCACGAGAAGCACCCCGACAUGGUGCUGAUCCACGGCAAGUCGCCGAAGGGUGCCGAGAAGAUCGCUUCUCUCUGGGCCAGGAAUCGCAAUGUCCCACAGAUCGGCUUUGCACCNGACGAAGCACGGCCGGGCAGCACCCUUCAAACGCAAUGACGAGAUGCUGCAAAUCCUGCCG